AGUGGUGGGGAUACCGUGCCACUUGGGGGAAAUAUAAGUCGGCCGCCUUUGACAGUGGGACCGGUCAUGCCACGAAUUUCUAACACUCACAUCUCAAUCCUCGCGAUACGCAUGCUCCGCAAGUAAAAGAGAAGAGAAUGAAACGGAGUGGUGGGGAUACUGUGCCACUUGGGGGAAAUAUAAGGCGACCGCCCUUGGCAAUGGGUCCAGUCAUGCCACCAAUUUCCACCACUCGAAUCUCAAUCCUCGCAGUACGCAUGCUCCGCAAAAUAAAACGGAGUGGUGGGGAUACUGUGCCAUUUGGGGGGAAUAUAAGGCGACCCCCCUUGGCAGUGGGUCCAGUCAUCCCGCGAAUUUCCACCAUUCAAAUCUCAAUC
Long non-coding RNA from Vespula vulgaris, 377 nucleotides. RefSeq lists it as uncharacterized. The transcript has 3 exons. Lineage: Eukaryota; Metazoa; Arthropoda; Insecta; Hymenoptera; Vespidae. The record is from RefSeq and is a predicted model, not a curated record.